This 253-nucleotide ribosomal RNA is filed under the name uncultured bacterium. Its description in RNAcentral is "partial 16S ribosomal RNA". It matches the Rfam family "Bacterial small subunit ribosomal RNA", at positions 524 to 776 of the family's 1533-position model. The record is from RNAcentral.
UACAGAGGUCUCAAGCGUUGUUCGGAUUCAUUGGGCGUAAAGGGCGCGUAGGCGGUGCGGUAAGUCACCUGUGAAAUCUCCUGGCUCAACUGGGAGCUUGCAGGCGAAACUGCCGUGCUGGAGUGUGGGAGAGGUGCGUGGAAUUCCUGGUGUAGCGGUGAAAUGCGUAGAUAUCAGGAGGAACACCGGUGGCGAAGGCGGGUCUCUGGGCCGUUACUGACGCUGAGGAGCGAAAGCGUGGGGAGCGAACAGG